RNAcentral lists this ribosomal RNA (422 nucleotides) under uncultured bacterium. RNAcentral's name for it is "bacterial SSU rRNA". It matches the Rfam family "Bacterial small subunit ribosomal RNA", at positions 362 to 776 of the family's 1533-position model. The record is from RNAcentral.
UAUUGGACAAUGGGCGCAAGCCUGAUCCAGCAAUGCCGCGUGGGUGAAGAAGGCCUUCGGGUUGUAAAGCCCUUUUGUACGGGAAGAAAUCAUCCGGGUUAAUACCCUGGGUGGAUGACGGUACCGUAAGAAUAAGCACCGGCUAACUUCGUGCCAGCAGCCGCGGUAAUACGAAGGGUGCAAGCGUUAAUCGGAAUUACUGGGCGUAAAGCGUGCGUAGGUGGUUGUUCAAGUCUGUCGUGAAAGCCCUGGGCUCAACCUGGGAAUGGCGGUGGAUACUGGAUAGCUAGAGUGUGUCAGAGGAUGGUGGAAUUCCCGGUGUAGCGGUGAAAUGCGUAGAGAUCGGGAGGAACAUCAGUGGCGAAGGCGGCCAUCUGGGACAACACUGACGCUGAAGCACGAAAGCGUGGGGAGCAAACAGG